CCUACGGGUGGCAGCAGUGAGGAAUAUUGGUCAAUGGACGAGAGUCUGAACCAGUCAAGUAGCGUGAAGGAUGACUGCCCUAUGGGUUGUAAACUUCUUUUAUAUGGGAAUAAAACGUUCCACGUGUGGGAUUUUGUAUGUACCAUAUGAAUAAGGAUCGGCUAACUCCGUGCCAGCAGCCGCGGUAAUACGGAGGAUCCGAGCGUUAUCCGGAUUUAUUGGGUUUAAAGGGAGCGUAGGUGGAUUGUUAAGUCAGUUGUGAAAGUUUGCGGCUCAACCGUAAAAUUGCAGUUGAGACUGGCAGUCUUGAGUACAGUAGAGGUGGGCGGAAUUCGUGGUGUAGCGGUGAAAUGCUUAGAUAUCACGAAGAACUCCGAUUGCGAAGGCAGUUCACUGGACUGCAACUGACACUGAGGCUCGAAAGUGUGGGUAUCAAACAGGAUUAGAUACCCUUGUAGUC
Molecule: ribosomal RNA, 460 nt
Filed under: uncultured bacterium
Lineage: Bacteria
Description: partial 16S ribosomal RNA
Rfam family: Bacterial small subunit ribosomal RNA
Source: RNAcentral